Molecule: microRNA precursor, 278 nt
Filed under: Medicago truncatula (barrel medic)
Lineage: Eukaryota; Viridiplantae; Streptophyta; Magnoliopsida; Fabales; Fabaceae
Description: MIR2655 microRNA precursor family
Rfam family: MIR2655 microRNA precursor family
Source: Rfam by way of RNAcentral
CCCUUAACUAUUAAAAGUUUCGUUUUGGUCCCUUAACUUAUUUUUUGAUUUCGUUUUGGUCCCUUAACUUAUUUUUUGAUUUCGUUUUGGUCCUUAACUCUAAUACAUUCAUCCUAACAUAAAGGACCAAAGUGGUUGACGGAGGAAGAGUUAAGGGACCAAAACGAAAUCAAAAAAUAAGUUAAGGGACCAAAACGAAACUUUUAAUAGUUAGGGGACCAAAACGAAACCAAAAAGUAAGUUAAGGGACCAAAACGAAACUUUUAAUAGUUAAAGGA